Molecule: ribosomal RNA, 495 nt
Filed under: Triticum aestivum (bread wheat)
Lineage: Eukaryota; Viridiplantae; Streptophyta; Magnoliopsida; Poales; Poaceae
Description: partial small subunit ribosomal RNA
Source: RNAcentral
AUGAUGAAGGAACUAAUAGCAAGUAGGUUGAGGCAAAAUAAUAGUGGAGGAAGUGCAAGUAGUAAAUCUGAGCUUGAAAAAUACCUUGCCAAAGACUCUGAAGACCCUGACAAAAAAAUUGGCAUCCUAGGAUGGUGGAAAGAGAAUUCAUCUAGGUUUUCAAUCUUGGAAAAUAUGGCUCGUGAUAUUCUUGCUAUCCCCAUUACAACUGUGGCUUCCGAGUCUGCCUUUAGCACAAGUGGACGCAUACUCGAUGACUUUAGGACAUCUCUAACUCCGUUUAUGGUGCAAGCUUUAGUUUGUAUGCAAGACUGGCUGAGAAGGUCAACGGAUCCGGUCGACAUCAAGGAGAACUUGGAAGAAUUAAAAGUGCUAGAAAAAGAGUUGAUUGAAGAAUUUGGUGACAAGGUGAAGGGAAAGCAGAAGUUCAAUGGUGUUGUUGUUGCUUCUUCCAUGGCCAAGUCAAACAAGUGUGCAAGUCGACCAACAAACUGA